CCCUGAUGUUAGCGGCGGACGGGUGAGUAACACGUGGGUAACCUGCCUGUAAGACUGGGAUAACUCCGGGAAACCGGGGCUAAUACCGGAUGGUUGUUUGAACCGCAUGGUUCAAACAUAAAAGGUGGCUUCGGCUACCACUUACAGAUGGACCCGCGGCGCAUUAGCUAGUUGGUGAGGUAAUGGCUCACCAAGGCAACGAUGCGUAGCCGACCUGAGAGGGUGAUCGGCCACACUGGGACUGAGACACGGCCCAGACUCCUACGGGAGGCAGCAGUAGGGAAUCUUCCGCAAUGGACGAAAGUCUGACGGAGCAACGCCGCGUGAGUGAUGAAGGUUUUCGGAUCGUAAAGCUCUGUUGUUAGGGAAGAACAAGUACCGUUCGAAUAGGGCGGUACCUUGACGGUACCUAACCAGAAAGCCACGGCUAACUACGUGCCAGCAGCCGCGGUAAUACGUAGGUGGCAAGCGUUGUCCGGAAUUAUUGGGCGUAAAGGGCUCGCAGGCGGUUUCUUAAGUCUGAUGUGAAAGCCCCCGGCUCAACCGGGGAGGGUCAUUGGAAACUGGGGAACUUGAGUGCAGAAGAGGAGAGUGGAAUUCCACGUGUAGCGGUGAAAUGC
Molecule: ribosomal RNA, 620 nt
Filed under: Bacillus tequilensis
Lineage: Bacteria; Bacillati; Bacillota; Bacilli; Caryophanales; Bacillaceae
Description: bacterial SSU rRNA
Rfam family: Bacterial small subunit ribosomal RNA
Source: RNAcentral